Molecule: non-coding RNA, 1146 nt
Organism: Microcebus murinus (gray mouse lemur)
Lineage: Eukaryota; Metazoa; Chordata; Mammalia; Primates; Cheirogaleidae
Source: RefSeq, a predicted model, not a curated record
GCUCUCCAUUUUUGUGGUAUUUCACUUAGAAGAAUGGACUCCAGAACCUUACUAGUUCUCCAGUUUUCAUGGCUGAGUAGUACUCCACGCUAUAGCAACAAAUUUAAGGCCAAACUAAACCAUGUAUUCCCAAGAGCUGCAUGUCUUUGAUUGUCACCAAAUGUCAGUUGGAGUCUGGGACAACACUAGAGGCUGUGCCUGGAGAUUAAUUAAGCCAUUUGUGGGAGAUGAUGAUGAUGAUGAUGAUUAAGGAGAAGAAGGAUUGGAAGAUAUUGGUGAAGAAGGGGAUGAGGAUGAAGGUGAAGAAGAUGAAGAUGAUAAUGAAGGGGAGGAAGGAGAGAAGCAUGAAGACAAAGAUGACUGACAGAACAUUGAUGGACACCAAAUUUCCUUUUUAAAAAUUUCUCCAGGUCAUGGGAGUAAGUUGCAGUCUUGUUUUGUUUGUUUGUUUUUUCCUCUUGUGCCCAGUUCUUGAGGUCUCUUUCCUCUCCGCUCUGGUUCUCAACUUAUUUGGGGGGGAAUACCUGGAAUAGAAUCUAAGGGUAAAAGAAUCUCUACCACUUUCUCUUCCAAAUUCAUUUUUAUCCCUUCCAGUCCCCCCCAAAACUGUCUAGAAUCAACACCACCGAGCUCUGUGUGAAAAAAGAAAAACCUGCUCCCUUCGCUCUGCUGGAAGCUGGAGAGCACUCAGACCCUGUGUUGUAGUGCAUGGAAUUCUAGGUUUUUUCUUUCUCUCUAUAUUGGGCUCACAAAGUACACCAUAUCUACAAGCGAAUAUGGGCAGUUAGCAUUUACCAACAUGUAUCUAUCUACUUUCUCUUGUUUACAAAAAGAAAAGAAAACAUCAAAAAAUGGGGUUAUAGAAGGUCAGCAAAGGAUGGAUUUGAGAUGUUUUUGGGUAGGUUAAGUGGGCAAUUUGACAAUUUCUGCUUUACAUGUUUAAUUGUGAUGUUUAAUGGAGAUAGUUGCAGUUUAGAUGACAGUUUUAAAAUAAAUUCUCUGCUAAUGAUGAGUUGAGCCCUGCUACUUAAUGGGAGAAUUAGCAGAACCUGUAGGAUCUUACUUAGAAUUGACAUUCUCUAUUGAAAUUUUGUUCCUGUUUAUUUUAAAUUUUUUUUUGUUUCACUGAAAAUAAAAGAUGAUGCU